AGAACAGGUAUGCAACUAUCUAAUGACUAUUUUAGCAUUACAGUAAUGUACAGCCGCUUCUCCAGGCAAUGGCGGACGCAUGUGGGGACAUAGAGGUUGCCUCUGUCCAAGGUUGGAUACGCCAUGCUAGGAGAUACUUCCCUCCAUGUGGGGACAUAGAGGUUGCCUCUGUCCAUGGUUGGAUACGCCAUGCUAGGAGAUACUUCCCAACAUGUGGGGACAAAGAGGUUGCCUCUGUCCAAGGUUGGAUACGCCAUGCUAGGAGAUACUUCCCUCCAUGUGAGGACAUAGAGGUUGCCUCUGUCCAGGGUUGGAUACGCCAUGCUAGGAGAUACUUCCCAACAUGUGGGGACAUAGAGGUUGCCUCUGUCCAGGGUUGGAUACGCCAUGCUAGGAGAUACUUCCCUCCAUGUGGGGACAUAGAGGUUGCCUCUGUCCAGGGUUGGAUACGCCAUGCUAGGAGAUACUUCCCUCCAUGUGGGGACAUAGAGGUUGCCUCUGUCCAGGGUUGGAUACGCCAUGCUAGGAGAUACUUCCCAACAUGUGGGGACAUAGAGGUUGCCUCUGUCCAGGGUUGGAUACGCCAUGCUAGGAGAUACUUCCCUCCAUGUGGGGACAUAGAGGUUGCCUCUGUCCAAGGUUGGAUACGCCAUGCUAGGAGAUACUUCCCUCCAUGUUUGGCAAGAGAAAACUUAUCUUUUGAUGUGGACGAAGUAUUGUGGCCAGACCCAGGCCGGAGAAAAGAUGAAGCGUAGCCCCCCCCCUACCAAUUCCUGGACUACCCCCCUGGGACCCCACACACACAAUUGUGUUCUUUACUGUAUUCUAAAGAAUAUACUUUUGGUUUACAUAUGUUUAUGGUUUUGUUGUAUGCUACUGUAUACAACAGUAAUGUUUGGCCUAAUAAAUCUUUUCUGUUUCUACAUUGCAUUGGUGUUAACAGUGUACUUGUUACCCCUCUCAGCAGAUUACUUUCACUGUAGAACAUUGUAUUGAAAUGUAGAUAUAAGCCUAUGAAAGACCAAAGAGCUUUAGAUUUAGAACAACAGUGUUUACAUGGUGUAUCCAAAAAUGUACUAUUAUGAAAGCAGUGUUUGCCAUUUGAUGCAAAUGCUUCAUUCUGACAUGUGUUUAUGGCAUUUUGAAAGCAGUGUUACAUUUUAAAGGAGAUGUGAGGCAUUUUGCAUUUUGUGUGUGCAGUGUUGGGAAUUGUGUGUAGAGUUUUGAAAAAAGGA
Oncorhynchus tshawytscha (Chinook salmon) is the source of this 1235-nucleotide long non-coding RNA. The record is from Ensembl. NCBI's taxonomy places the organism in Eukaryota, Metazoa, Chordata, Actinopteri, Salmoniformes, Salmonidae.